UUUCAGCCCAGGCCAUUCUGUAAUUCUGUGAUGUGUACAACUAUGAGAAUAGUGCCAUCUUUCCUUGCCGUGAUGCAGCGCAAACAGUUCAGCAUUUCUAACAAAAUGAGCUGGUGAGGUGGGGAGGCCGGAGAUAAACCCCCCAGAGCAGUGAAUGAACAGCUGGCACUGGAGGGCCCCAGCAGAGCUCAUCUCAGAGCAGCCACAGGAGAAUGAAGAGCUACAUGUUUCAUUGCUGUUGUUAUGACCAGUUUCAGUAGAUGUGAUAAUGGCCACCUAUGAGGAGAAAGCUACAGUUGUGUAUGGAUCAACGUCCAGGAAGGUAUGGGAGCUGCAGUUCGUUUAGUAGUUUUGAACACCGCACUACAAAUUGUAUGCCAAAGAAAUGCUUCCAUCUCACACUGUCCUCCAGACCAGAGGGAUUAUAUGGGCUUUCAGAAUCUUAUUAUACGUGGAGAAAUGCACAUAUCUUGCCUGAAGGACAUCUCAGAGAAAACUCGAGAACAGCUGCCUGGCAGAGGGCAGCGGUGGAUUCUUUGUGGACUGCUGAAGAAGGUUGGCACGAAUUACAAGGCUGAAGCACAAUCCAGAGCAGGAGGACAGAAGGGACGUCCCCAUGUUUGGAAUCAGCCUGCUCCACAGCUGGUGGCUGCAGCAGCACCAGAGAUGGGUGCUGCCAGGUGGGCGGUGGGACUGCUGCCCUACAGCCACGUCUGUCUGCCACCACCCCGCUCCUUUCCCAUUAGUGUUUCCCUCCAGAAUGACUGUGACUUCCAGGGGCACCUCUGGGAAUGUUUCUUUGGCACACGCACCAAAGGCACCUCUGAUUGUUUUGUUUGUUUCAAGAUGAGUUGUGUACCUGCUGUUUGCAGCCCCUGCCCCGAGGCCACGCUCACAGGCUGUCAGCUCCUGGAGCCGAGGAUCCGUCCCUUCACUGCCAUAGAAAGCAAAACCCCAACCUCGGUGAACUUUGGCAUAUUUUCCUAAUUGAUGCGAAUGAGAUGAGAGGGAAAACUGACUCCUGUGACCUCCACAGCAUAACUGUGUACUGUGUGUUGCAUGAAUAAAGGGGUGUGCCAUAGCUGCACAAAUGUGAACUGGCACCAUUCUACCCUU
Molecule: long non-coding RNA, 1116 nt
Organism: Gallus gallus (chicken)
Lineage: Eukaryota; Metazoa; Chordata; Aves; Galliformes; Phasianidae
Source: Ensembl